This 406-nucleotide ribosomal RNA is filed under the name uncultured bacterium. RNAcentral's name for it is "partial 16S ribosomal RNA". It matches the Rfam family "Bacterial small subunit ribosomal RNA", at positions 30 to 526 of the family's 1533-position model. The record is from RNAcentral.
AUUGAACGCUGGCGGCAGGCCUAACACAUGCAAGUCGAACGAGUGGCGGACGGGUGAGUAAUGUCUGGGAAACUGCCUGAUGGAGGGGGAUAACUACUGGAAACGGUAGCUAAUACCGCAUACCAUCAGAUGUGCCCAGAUGGGAUUGGCUAGUAGGUGGGGUAAUGGCUCACCUAGGCGACGAUCCCUAGCUGGUCUGAGAGGAUGCCCAGCCACACUGGAACUGAGACACGGUCAAGAGUCCUACGGGAGGCAGCAGUGGGGAAUAUUGCACAAUGGGCGCAAGCCUGAUACAGCCAUGCCGCGGGUGUGAAGAAGGCCUUCGGGUUGUAAAGCACUUGCAGCGGGGAGGCGUUACCCGCAGAAGAAGCACCGGCUAACUCCGUGCCAGCCGCCGCGGUAAUUC